Molecule: ribosomal RNA, 447 nt
Filed under: uncultured bacterium
Lineage: Bacteria
Description: bacterial SSU rRNA
Rfam family: Bacterial small subunit ribosomal RNA
Source: RNAcentral
UGGGGAAUCUUGGACAAUGGGCGCAAGCCUGAUCCAGCCAUGCCGCGUGGAUGAUGAAGGCCUUAGGGUUGUAAAAUCCUUUCGCCGAGGACGAUAAUGACGGUACUCGGAGAAGAAGCUCCGGCUAACUUCGUGCCAGCAGCCGCGGUAAUACGAAGGGGGCUAGCGUUGUUCGGAUUUACUGGGCGUAAAGGGCGCGUAGGCGGUUUGUCAAGUCAGUUGUGAAAUCUCCGAGCUUAACUCGGAACGGUCAACUGAUACUGUCAAACUAGAGUACAGAAGGGGCAAUCGGAAUUCUUGGUGUAGCGGUGAAAUGCGUAGAUAUCAAGAGGAACACCUGAGGCGAAGGCGGGUUGCUGGGCUGAUACUGACGCUGAAGCGCGAAAGCUAGGGUAGCAAACGGGAUUAGAUACCCUUGUAGUCCCUGAGCGGGCUGGCAAGGCGCAU